GGGGCGGCGUCCGGCUCCGGCCGAGCUGGGGGAGGAGCGCGGCGGCGACGGCGGCUGCUCCAGAAGAGGAGGAAAAGGAGGCGGAGGAGCUCCUUUCCUUUUCCCAGACCCCGGAGCGUUCGGGACGUAGAGCCCGGAACUGGGGGGACGCGGCGACUGCGGGGGCCCGGGAAGAGACUUGAGCUUGAAUGAUGGCUUGCCUUUUCUUGUAUCCACCAUUUCCAGCACUGGAAUCCAUGCUGAAUCUGGUCAUUGUCUCUGCUGCUACCACCAAGAUUCAAGCUGCUGUUCUCUUUCCUGGAUUAUUGCAUUAGCCAUCUGACU
This 324-nucleotide long non-coding RNA is filed under the name Equus asinus (donkey). RNAcentral describes it as "lncRNA (ENSEASG00005032465.1)". Lineage: Eukaryota; Metazoa; Chordata; Mammalia; Perissodactyla; Equidae. The record is from RNAcentral.